UCCAGCAGAGAUGGCAGAGCU
This 21-nucleotide non-coding RNA is filed under the name Arabidopsis thaliana (thale cress). The record is from RNAcentral. Lineage: Eukaryota; Viridiplantae; Streptophyta; Magnoliopsida; Brassicales; Brassicaceae.